AAUCAACGCUGGCGGCGUGCCUCAGACAUGCAAGUCGAACGAUUAAAGCUCUCUUCGGAGAGUGUAUAGAGUGGCGCACGGGUGAGUAACACGUAAGUAAUCUACCCUCGAGUGGGGAAUAACGUCCGGAAACGGACGCUAAUACCGCAUAAUGCAGCGGCACCGCAAGGUGACAGUUGUUAAAGGAGAAAUUCGCUUGAGGAGGAGCUUGCGGCAGAUUAGCUUGUUGGUAAGGUAACGGCUUACCAAGGCUACGAUCUGUAACCGGUCUUAGAGGACGGUCGGUCACACUGACACUGAAUAACGGGUCAGACUCCUACGGGAGGCAGCAGUCGGGAAUUUUGGGCAAUGGGCGAAAGCCUGACCCAGCAACGCCGCGUGAAGGAUGAAGUAUUUCAGUAUGUAAACUU
Molecule: ribosomal RNA, 410 nt
Filed under: uncultured bacterium
Lineage: Bacteria
Description: bacterial SSU rRNA
Rfam family: Bacterial small subunit ribosomal RNA
Source: RNAcentral